GACGAACGCUGGCGGCGUGCUUAACACAUGCAAGUCGAACGGAAAGGCCCUGCUUUUGUGGGGUGCUCGAGUGGCGAACUGGUGAGUAACACGUGAGUAACCUGCCCUUGACUUUGGGAUAACUUCAGGAAACUGGGGCUAAUACCGGAUAGGAGCUCCUGCUGCAUGGUGGGGGUUGGAAAGUUUCGGCGGUUGGGGAUGGACUCGCGGCUUAUCAGCUUGUUGGUGGGGUAGUGGCUUACCAAGGCUUUGACGGGUAGCCGGCCUGAGAGGGUGACCGGCCACAUUGGGACUGAGAUACGGCCCAGACUCCUACGGGAGGCAGCAGUGGGGAAUAUUGCACAAUGGGCGGAAGCCUGAUGCAGCAACGCCGCGUGCGGGAUGGCGGCCUUCGGGUUGUAAACCGCUUUCGCCUGUGACGAAGCGUGAGUGACGGUAAUGGGUAAAGAAGCACCGGCUAACUACGUG
RNAcentral lists this ribosomal RNA (468 nucleotides) under uncultured bacterium. RNAcentral describes it as "partial 16S ribosomal RNA". It matches the Rfam family "Bacterial small subunit ribosomal RNA", at positions 28 to 507 of the family's 1533-position model. The record is from RNAcentral.